RNAcentral lists this ribosomal RNA (468 nucleotides) under uncultured bacterium. Its description in RNAcentral is "partial 16S ribosomal RNA". It matches the Rfam family "Bacterial small subunit ribosomal RNA", at positions 28 to 507 of the family's 1533-position model. The record is from RNAcentral.
GACGAACGCUGGCGGCGUGCUUAACACAUGCAAGUCGAACGGAAAGGCCCUGCUUUUGUGGGGUGCUCGAGUGGCGAACGGGUGAGUAACACGUGAGUAACCUGCCCUUGACUUUGGGAUAACUUCAGGAAACUGGGGCUAAUACCGGAUAGGAGCUCCUGCUGCAUGGUGGGGGUUGGAAAGUUUCGGCGGUUGGGGAUGGACUCGCGGCUUAUCAGCUUGUUGGUGGGGUAGUGGCUUACCAAGGCUUUGACGGGUAGCCGGCCUGAGAGGGUGACCGGCCACAUUGGGACUGAGAUACGGCCCAGACUCCUACGGGAGGCAGCAGUGGAGAAUAUUGCGCAAUGGGCGGAAGCCUGAUGCAGCAACGCCGCGUGCGGGAUGACGGCCUUCGGGUUGUAAACCGCUUUCGCCUGUGACGAAGCGUGAGUGACGGUAAUGGGUAAAGAAGCACCGGCUAACUACGUG